UACGGAGGGAGCUAGCGUUAUUCGGAAUUACUGGGCGUAAAGCGCACGUAGGCGGCUUUGUAAGUAAGAGGUGAAAGCCCAGAGCUCAACUCUGGAAUUGCCUUUUAGACUGCAUCGCUCGAAUCAUGGAGAGGUCAGUGGAAUUCCGAGUGUAGAGGUGAAAUUCGUAGAUAUUCGGAAGAACACCAGUGGCGAAGGCGGCUGACUGGACAUGUAUUGACGCUGAGGUGCGAAAGCGUGGGGAGCAAACAGG
Molecule: ribosomal RNA, 253 nt
Filed under: uncultured bacterium
Lineage: Bacteria
Description: partial 16S ribosomal RNA
Rfam family: Bacterial small subunit ribosomal RNA
Source: RNAcentral